UAACACAUGUACACCCUCAUUCCGGUUCACGAACGGCGAUUGGAUUCCAAUCCGUUCGAGUUCGAAUAGUUUGCAUUUUACCUUACGCAAUCCUAAAGGGCGGUGAAUUUCGAAUUCGAACUUUCAUCGCAGCAGUCAGACAUCUGUGAAACCAAAACAAAAACAAAAACGGCAAAUGGUUUUAAAAGUUAUAGUUUCUGCAGCAAAUUAUUUAUUAUGCAUUCGUCUACAUUUGAAUUAAAGAGAGGUAAGCGGCCACAAAAGGUUACUCAGCUGGAGGUGCUGGAACCGGGUUUUGCGCUUGAAGAUCAUUAACUGCCACAUCCGCAGCAACCGGCCUGGGAAGCGAUGACAACUAAUAAAUUCGGCUUGAAACGAUGACCGAAAUCGCUGUUACAGUAAAUCCAUUGCUGUUAUGGUUUUUACAAUCAUAUGGAAUCAAGGCUACGUGCGGUUACGCUUCCUGGAAGAUGGUUCACAGCGGUUCGAGGUCAUCGUUAGCUAACAUUUGCCGUGUAUAUUGAGUAAUUUCUAGUUUUUUUUUAAUAUUUCAAAUAUGGCUUAUUUCAAGAAGAAAUGUAACCUUUCAGUGUUAAGGUGAGGUUUAAGCGGCUAUUACAUAUACAGUGGGGUAAAAAUCGUGAUUUUUAAAGAUUUUGCUUGAAUUUUCACCAGGAAUUGUUUAGAUCGAUAUUGCAGCCAAAUAAUGAAAGAUAGAAGUUGGGCGUCAAAGAACAAAUUGUAGAGUGGUUCAAGAACAUUAAUUUAAUUGGUAGAAACAAUCUAGUUCAAUUUAAAAUUUUAGGAUAAAAUUAAUAAAAACACAUUAAAAAUGA
Molecule: long non-coding RNA, 836 nt
Organism: Toxorhynchites rutilus septentrionalis
Lineage: Eukaryota; Metazoa; Arthropoda; Insecta; Diptera; Culicidae
Exons: 2
Source: RefSeq, a predicted model, not a curated record